Non-coding RNA from Vicugna pacos (alpaca), 721 nucleotides. Lineage: Eukaryota; Metazoa; Chordata; Mammalia; Artiodactyla; Camelidae. The record is from RefSeq and is a predicted model, not a curated record.
GCUCUUCUGAUCUUGAGGAUUUUCAAGGCCAUUAUUGACAUGUCCUUUUUGUUACCUUUCUUACAAAUUUGCAGCUCUAUAUUUUGAGCAAGAAAUUAAGAGGCAUUAAAUUUUCAUCGAUUAUUUGCAAUGUAGAUGAUAACUGAACUCUGACUUUUUAUAAUAUAUUUUGCUGAGGUUUGGCGAACAGCUAUGGCAAUUGGUUAGUCAUCUAAAACCCUUGAUGUUACGGUGAUUCAAGCAGAGGGGAAAGAAAUCUGAAAAAGUCAUAUUGGUUUGGUUUCUCUGGGAAACAGACUCUGAGCCUGAGAAUUGGGGCAGGGGGUGUGUGUGCUCUAGAACAACACUUCCUGAGAGAUGAAGGAGGUAGGAUUGGACAGGAGGGGAAGCUGAACUUCAGGUCAGUGUGGCAGGGGCCUUGGCUGGUCCCACGGGGUCUCUGAAGUUGGGAUGGCCCUUCAGCCAGUCCUGAGUGGAGGCAAGGGGACUGGGCCCGGUGCCACAGCUCCACCUGCUGCCAGAUGGGAAAGGAAUGAAGCGGUAGCCCCGGCAGUUCCAGAGGGCAGCCCUGCUGGGAGCUGUCAGGAGCCUACACUGCCAGCCUGGGGGCACUGAGUGCCUCCCUCUGAAGGAGGGCCCUGUCCAUAAGUGAAACACAGAAUGGGGACCACAUAAGGAGAGGGAGAGGAGAAAAGAUCCAUGCUAUCACAUAAUUUCUCUU